RNAcentral lists this ribosomal RNA (797 nucleotides) under Meloidogyne mali. Its description in RNAcentral is "partial large subunit ribosomal RNA". It matches the Rfam family "Eukaryotic large subunit ribosomal RNA", at positions 344 to 964 of the family's 3401-position model. The record is from RNAcentral. Lineage: Eukaryota; Metazoa; Nematoda; Chromadorea; Rhabditida; Meloidogynidae.
ACAAGUACCGUGAGGGAAAGUUGCAAAGCACUUUGAAGAGAGAGUUAAAGAGGACGUGAAACCGGUGGGGUGGAAACGGAUAGAGCCGGCGUAUCUAACAUGUAUUCAACCGCUAAAUUAUCGCGUUUCGUACUUUGAUCUCCGCGUUUCGCAUUUGAUCUCAUUGUUUGAAUCGUUGUAGUGGUGUGGUGCAUUUGCAUGUGGAGUGCGUAGAGGCGUCAGGGAUUGAGGUGUGAUCUCUGUUUUGAGGCCAGCUUGCUGAUACCCAAACAUCGGCAACACCUUUUCUUCCGGACGUUUUGUUGCAAGGCUUACGAGCUCUAUUGGGGCUCGAACUGGGGGUCGGUUACGGUCGCAUGCGACGCGUGCUGUUCAUCAUUCGAGUGCAUCCAGUUCGGUCCUGGUCGAGCUCACGUGCAGUCUCUCUGCGUAAAAGCCGGUCACCUAUCCGACCCGUCUUGAAACACGGACCAAGGAGUUUAUCGUGUGCGCGUGUCAUUGGGCUUUCAAAACUCAAAGACGAAAUGAAAGUGAAUGUCCUCGCAAGAGGCUGACGUGUGAUUCCCUGUCCUUUUCGAGGUGGGGAAGCAGCAUGGCCCCAUUCUGACUGCUUGCAGUGGGGUGGAGGAAGAGCGCAUGCGGUGAGACCCGAAAGAUGGUGAACUAUUCCUGAGCAGGAUGAAGCCAGAGGAAACUCUGGUGGAAGUCCGAAGCGGUUCUGACGUGCAAAUCGAUCGUCUGACUUGGGUAUAGGGGCGAAAGACUAAUCGAACCAUCUAGUAGCUGGUUCCUUCCGA